UAAUAGGGGUAAAUUCAGUAAAAAAUCUCCCAUUGACUUUAAUGCUAAUCUAUGUAUGGAAUUAAAUUUAUACCUGAUUUACCUUUAGAAAUUGGAAACUUUCAUAUAACAUUCAUGAAAGUACAAAUGUAGCCCUAUCUUUUGCACUAAUAAAAACAUAGGGUCAUGCGGCAUUUUUGGGCAUUCACAUGGCCUUGUUUACAAACAAUGUAGAUUCGCACUGAAUUCCUAUACUGACCCCCAUUACUUUUCAACCCUGUAGUAAAAAAAAAUUAGUACAUUCAGCAUUUAUUUUUUAUUUUUUUCAACUCUAGUUUUGAUCCAUCUGCCAAAAAAUAUUUAUUACAAACAUUAUCUACCAAUCAGAAGAGCAUAUGACUUCAGUGUUAUACAGAAAGCUCUCCCCUAAAUGGGCGGUCCCUGAUGACGUAUAUUUAUUUACUGAAUUUACCCCUAUAAGGGACUUUUUUACUUCUUUUCCCACUUUUUUUGUAAUAAACAUGUAAGGUAUCCAAUUUUCAAGUUCCAGUUUCAAUACAACAUUCAUAAAUGCUGAGUUUGUAAAGAUAGAGCAAAAUUUAUACUACAGCCCAUACUGCGGCCAAUGUAUAUUUGGUAUAUAAAGUUGCACAUUGACUGUUUUUAAAAGAAUGGUGUAAAAUACUAUGUUUAAUAAAUAUGAAUUGUUUUCUGUGUUUGCUUUGACCAGUAUUGCAAGUACACCUAGAAACUAAAGACUUGGUGUACUCUUAGUUAAAUUUUUCCUUAUAUGGAAGUUUUUGAUUAAAUACCCUGAAAAGAGCACAAAAGGACUUUUUAAAGGCUUUUUUAAGCAGUUUGAUACCAAAUAAAACAACAAUUAUGUUUCAUUAUACUAAAUCUGUGUUUUAAUUACUUGUAAAGUUCACAAAAUGUCAUUGACAAUCACUCUGCAGAAAUUCCUGUUACCCCAACAUCAGGAUGGAUUCUUCGCCAAAACUAGACAGCCAAAACUGAAGUAGAAAAAAG
Molecule: long non-coding RNA, 1008 nt
Filed under: Mytilus galloprovincialis (Mediterranean mussel)
Lineage: Eukaryota; Metazoa; Mollusca; Bivalvia; Mytilida; Mytilidae
Source: RNAcentral